Molecule: ribosomal RNA, 499 nt
Filed under: Triticum aestivum (bread wheat)
Lineage: Eukaryota; Viridiplantae; Streptophyta; Magnoliopsida; Poales; Poaceae
Description: partial small subunit ribosomal RNA
Source: RNAcentral
GGGGGUGCAAGCGAGGGGAGAGGGGGCUAGACCUAGCCCUAGCCCCCCUCCGGUGGCUGCGCGGCGGCGAGGGGACUCCGGUGGCGGCGGCGUGCUCCGGCGUGGUGGGCCUCGCGGAAGCGGAGCGGCGGAGAGGCCGAGUGGAGGGGAGCGAGGCGAAAGGGGGUAGGGCUAAGACCUAGCCCCGUGGUUCAGGCGGCCGCGGGGUGGCGGUGUGCGGCGAGCGGAGGGGCAGUAGGGCGGCAGAGGCUGGCGGAGGUUCUGCCGAAGGGGCUGGAGGCGCAGGAGGGGAAGAAGGAGAUGUGGCUCGGUGCUCCUGGGCCUUCGGGGGCACUGCGGCGGGGCGACGAGCUGCGGCCUCGGAGGAGCGGCCUGACGGAGGGGUAGCGCGCGGCAGGUGCAGAAGGAGGGGCUCGGGGUGACGGGCACGGGAUGACGAGGGGAUGAUGCUCUGGCUGUGACGACGACGGGUCAAGCUGAUGCCUCAGCUGCUGGGGAG